This 274-nucleotide long non-coding RNA is filed under the name Capsicum annuum. RNAcentral describes it as "long non-coding RNA (CANN_LNC006280)". Lineage: Eukaryota; Viridiplantae; Streptophyta; Magnoliopsida; Solanales; Solanaceae. The record is from RNAcentral.
CCCAAACUCUUUUUUUUUUCUGCUGCGUAUGUUUCUUCCUUUUCUUUUCUCCACUGUUUGCUUGUUUUUCCUUUUUUUUUUUUGUGUUUUGUCUUGUUCUUCCUUUUUCCUUUUUCCUUUUUGUUCCUUGUUUUUUUUUCUUGGUUUCUUCUGUUUCUGAGUGUUUGGUUUGUCUCCUUUCUUUUAAAUUUUUUCCUGUGUUCUCCUUUUUUCUCCUCUAUGUCUUUGUUGUGUGUAUUGUUAUAUAGAGAUGUAGGAGGGGGGAAGUUGAGGG